GAAGAGAUUUAGAUUUUGCCAGACCCCAGUUUCCGUGUUUACCCUCUUUGGGUAAACAAACAAAUAUACAAGUAUUAAGUUUUCUUUAUCUUUUGUUUUUGUAUUUUAAAGAUUGCUUCUUGCAUUUGAUCAUGCCAAAAAAAAAAUAUUAAUCAGGUGUUUAGCUUGGAAAGGAAGUGAAUUGCUUUAGAGGAAGAAGCAAUUUAUUGCAUGUUUGUGUACCUUUUUGAGAAAAUUUAAGUUAAAGCAAGUGUGCCCUUUUUGGGUAGAAUUCUUGGAAUACUGGUAUAUUUGAUUGAUAUUUGGAGAGUUUGAUAAUUCUAUCGAAGAAAUGGUGUAAAUUUAGCUAGUCUUUGGUGGUGGUGAAAUGUCAGUAGUAGUUUCUCCACCUCCAAAUAUUGCACCAUUUCCUGUUCCACCAAUUGCCUUAAGUCCACCUUCUCAGCUUCCUUCUCCUGUCCCAGAAUCUCAACCUAAUGCGACAGCACCACCUGUUUCUUCUCUUCCUCCAACCUUACCCCCGCAAUCUGCUCCUCCCCCGGUGUCACCACCACAAUCGCCUCCUCCAAGUAACGUGACUUCGCCUCCUCCAUCAGCCCCACAAUCGCCUCCUCCAAGUAACGUAAUAUCGCCUCCUCCAAUGGCUUCCCCACCCACAGCAUCCGCUUCUCCACCCUUACCUUCCUCGCCUCCACCUAGCCCACCUGCUAGUUCACCGCCACCUAAAUCUUCUCCUCCGCCUGCUAGUUCACCGCCACCUCAAUCUUCUCCUCCCCCUGUUAGUUCUCCUCCACCUCCAUCUAGCCCACCAGUUAGUGCAUCACCACCUCCGAAAGUUGAGCCUCCACCUGUCUCACCUCCCCCACAACCAACUCCUCCAACAAGUUCACCUCCGCCGCCUCCAAAAUUUGAUCCUCCUCCUACCGCAUCUCCACCACAACCAACCAAUCCUCCAAGUUCACCUUCACCGCCUCCAAAAAUUGAUCCUCCACCUGUAUCACCUCCGCCACCUGCACAGAAUCCGGAUCCUGAACCUCCGAAAGGUUCAUCCCCGGCCCCACCCUCACCCGUGAAUUCACCUCCACCCCCCACGUCUGUGCCACCACAAGGUUCACCUCCUACCCCACCCUCUGACCCUCCUAAAGAUUCACCCCCUUCACCACUUCCACCUGCGAAUUCACCUCCAUCACCAUCAUUUCCGCCACCACGAGAUUCACCUCCUACCCCGUCCUCGGAACCUUCUAGAAAUACACCUCCUUCACCACCCGUUCCUUCAGGUGGGAGUGGAACCCCUACCAAUGGAUCGAGUGGUAAUGCAGCAGACAGCUCAAACAGUUCGAGUAGUAACGGCAUAGGGACUGGAGGUACAGUUGCCAUUGGCAUCAUUGUUGCAGUUUUAUUGCUUAGUGUUAUUGGAGUAGUUGGUUGGUGCGUAUGGAAGCGGAAGAAAAAGGCUUUUCAUGGCAAUGGCGGAAAUGUCAUGCCAACCUCUAUGGGCUCCACCCCAAAAUCUGAUUCUGUCUUAUUGAGGAUACAGGAAUCAACACCUGUGACCGGUAAUGGAACUGGCAAUAAUUUCCUAAAUUCUCCUGGAGGAUCUGGUGGAUUGGGAAAUUCAAAGAUAUGGUUUACUUAUGAAGAACUAGUUAAGGCUACUAAUGACUUCUCGGCUGAGAAUAUAUUGGGGGCGGGUGGAUUUGGUUCUGUAUACAAAGGACGACUACCAGAUGGGAGGGAUGUAGCAGUAAAGCAACUAGAUAUCGGUGGGCGCCAGGGGGACCGGGAGUUCAGAGCUGAAGUUGAAAUCAUUAGUCGAGUACACCAUCGCCAUUUGGUCUCCCUUGUAGGUUAUUGCAUUUCUGAGAACAGAAGGCUCCUUGUUUAUGAAUAUGUCCCAAAUAACACCCUUUACUUCCAUCUUCAUGCAGAAGGAAGGCCUGUUUUGGAUUGGGCAACACGGGUUAAGAUUGCUGUUGGUGGAGCUCGUGGAAUAGCUUAUCUGCAUGAAGAUUGCCAUCCUCGCAUUAUCCACAGAGACAUUAAGUCAUCAAACAUUCUUUUGGAUAUUAACUUCGAUGCUCGGGUUUCUGAUUUUGGAUUAGCUAAAUUAGCUCAGGAUGCAAAAACUCAUGUUACAACACGUGUUGUGGGAACAUUUGGAUACAUGGCUCCUGAAUAUGCAUCAAGUGGCAAGCUGACCGAAAAAUCCGACGUAUAUUCUUUUGGGGUUGUGCUUCUGGAGCUGAUUACUGGACGGAAGCCGGUUGAUACAUCUCAGCCUAUAGGGGAUGAGAGUCUAGUUGAGUGGGCUCGGCCUUUGCUUACGCAUGCACUUGAGAAAUUGGAAUUCGAUCAGUUGACAGAUCCACGCCUCGAGAGGAAUUAUGCUAUCCCUGAGAUGUUUCAACUGAUCGAGGCAGCUGCAGCUUGUGUGCGCCACUCAGCUGCAAAGAGACCGGGCAUGGGACAGAUUAUGAGAGCUUUUGAUAACAUGUCUACGUCUGAUCUGACGAAUGGGAUGAAAGUUGGUGAAAGUAGAAUCUAUAACUCUGCAGAACAAUCUGCAGAAAUAAGAUUGUUUCGAAGGAUGGCAUUUGGUAGUCCGGAUUUUAGUUCUGAUUUUUUUAGUCAAGGUACACAGCAUAGCGGAGAGUCGGCUGAAGAUAGGGUAUAGCACACAGCUAAACGCCUUGCUACAGCAAGUGUAUAUGUAUCUGUUCAUAGAUCAAAGGCUCCUACGUUGAGAGGUACAUGUUUGCCUCUCCGAGGUGAUUUUGGUCGCAAUUUUUCCUGCAAUAUUUACUUUCUCAAUGCUUCAAACAUCAAUAUACCCUUUUAAAAAGAGAAGCAACCUAUUCCUUGACAAGAAACGACUUCUAUUCAUAACCUUCUUCUUCAUUACCUUCACCCUUUCUCUCCUCU
This is an RNA transcript of Lycium barbarum (goji berry), 2922 nucleotides long. It is a transcript of the gene named proline-rich receptor-like protein kinase PERK9, with no coding region annotated. The record is from RefSeq and is a predicted model, not a curated record. Lineage: Eukaryota; Viridiplantae; Streptophyta; Magnoliopsida; Solanales; Solanaceae. The transcript is spliced from 10 exons.